Molecule: ribosomal RNA, 465 nt
Filed under: uncultured Klebsiella sp.
Lineage: Bacteria; Pseudomonadati; Pseudomonadota; Gammaproteobacteria; Enterobacterales; Enterobacteriaceae
Description: bacterial SSU rRNA
Rfam family: Bacterial small subunit ribosomal RNA
Source: RNAcentral
CCUACGGGGGGCUGCAGUGGGGAAUAUUGCACAAUGGGCGCAAGCCUGAUGCAGCCAUGCCGCGUGUGUGAAGAAGGCCUUCGGGUUGUAAGGCACUUUCAGCGGGGAGGAAGGCGGUGAGGUUAAUAACCUCAUCGAUUGACGUUACCCGCAGAAGAAGCACCGGCUAACUCCGUGCCAGCAGCCGCGGUAAUACGGAGGGUGCAAGCGUUAAUCGGAAUUACUGGGCGUAAAGCGCACGCAGGCGGUCUGUCAAGUCGGAUGUGAAAUCCCCGGGCUCAACCUGGGAACUGCAUUCGAAACUGGCAGGCUAGAGUCUUGUAGAGGGGGGUAGAAUUCCAGGUGUAGCGGUGAAAUGCGUAGAGAUCUGGAGGAAUACCGGUGGCGAAGGCGGCCCCCUGGACAAAGACUGACGCUCAGGUGCGAAAGCGUGGGGAGCAAACAGGAUUAGAUACCCGAGUAGUC